AUACGGAGGAUCCGAGCGUUAUCCGGAUUUAUUGGGUUUAAAGGGUGCGCAGGCGGCCAUUUAAGUCAGCGGUUAAAUCGUGGGGCUCAACCCCAUUCUGCCGUUGAUACUGGGUGGCUUGAUUGCGGUCGAGGUUGGCGGAAUUCGUUGUGUAGCGGUGAAAUGCAUAGAUAUGACGAAGAACACCGAUUGCGUAGGCAGCUGACCAGACCGCAAAUGACGCUCAUGCACGAAAGUGCGGGGAUCGAACAGGAUUAGAUUCCAUGGUAGUCCGCACAGUAAACGAGGAAUACUUGUUUUCGGCGAUAUAAUGUCGGAGGCAAAGCGAAAGCGAUAAGUAGUCCACCUGGGGAGUACGCCGGCAACGGUGAAACUCAAAGGAAUUGACGGGG
Molecule: ribosomal RNA, 392 nt
Filed under: uncultured bacterium
Lineage: Bacteria
Description: partial 16S ribosomal RNA
Rfam family: Bacterial small subunit ribosomal RNA
Source: RNAcentral